UUUUUUUCACAGGUCAAAGUUCAUCUAAAUAGAAAGUCUUAAUUUAGAAAUAGCAACAAAAUCGUUGCUUGUCUGGUUGUUUGGCUCAACUAAGGUCCUAGGCGUAGACACCAAACACUAAUCAAAGUGCAACACCUAUGAAGGACUAGAAAAAAAAACAAGUGAGUAGCUUUGUCGUGUACUGAUAUGAUAGUAUAGUUUCAAUCUGGUACUUAACAACAAUUUUCAGUGGCUGAGUUAGUUAGUAGGUAACCUACGGUCGGCCCAUCCUUUGUACACGGCGCAGGAUCGAGUCUUGGCCUUGCGCCUUCUUUUUUCUUUUCUAGAUCGAGCGCGGUCGCGCGGUUUUCUCGGAGAAGUGGAUGGGCCGAGUGCGGGUUGAACCGGUCAACUAUACGAUAGGGAAAACAGAAAAGAAUAACGGCGUCCGCCAGAUCCGGAUCGAACGGCAACGAGUUCGUUCGGAUCUGUGGCAAAAAUACAGUCGUACGGAAGUUAGCUUUUCCGUAAUAUAAUAUGUGCAGUAAAAAAACGCUAAUUAAUCUCUCUGCUCCCUUAAUUUUAUGGGGAUGGGCCCCGUCUCCCUCUUAAUCUUCAAUUAAAACCUGCCACGUAACCUGCUUCUACGCAUAAAUUUUACAAAAUUUCUACGCAUAGAUGAGGCGGAGGGUGAAAAUUUGAGAUGCAAGCACCUCUCACGAUGGGGACUAUACGUGGCCAUAAUUCGGGCCGGGUCGGGCCUAAAGAAGCCUGAAGCAAAACACCUAGGCCCAGGCCUGACCCGGACCGGCUCUCGGGCCUAGAUUUUAGGCCCAAACCCGGCCCAUCAGUGCAAAAGCCCGUCGGGCCUUGGGUCGCGCCUCUUCCCUUAAACGCCCAUAUGUUAAGCCCGAGCCCAGCAUGCCUUGGUGUUCGUGCUCAACAUCUAGGCCCAGGCCUGGCUCGUGGGCAAGACUGGGCCGGGCAGGGUCAGGUCGGGCUGGGUUUCUCAUGGCCAGGUAUAACGUGGGCUAAGGACAACUCUACCCGGCAGAAGCAGGCAGACACGGUUUUUGUCCGGUUUUUAUUCAUUUGCUUCUGCUAAAUGGACGCGCGUGUUUGGUUUUGAUUUUGGAGGCGUCAGUGCGUUAGUCUGCGUGCUCUUGGAAAAAACUAAAUAGACAUAAACAUUUACAUUUAAAACAUGCAUAUUAAUAAAACUACCAAACAACUUGAAAAACUUAAUUCUGGUUCAACUUAUGCAACGCUUCACUAGCACUACGCUUAGGCCUUUGUUUCUCAGAGGCUACAAAAUAUCCCGAAACUAGUUACAAAAUUAGUGGAACCUUUACAUCUGACAUAAUCCCAAGAUAUGUGCAUAUUGACAUGUGCCUUUUGUUUAUGUUUGUUUACUAUUUGAACAACAAUAAGAUCCCUAUACCUUUGAAAAAGCUCUGGAACUAAGUGAUACAAUAUUUUAUCAAAGCAAUUAGAUGAUAGCCAUAAGUUCCAAAUCUAGUAUAUCCAUAAAAUUAAAUUAUUGUACGAUGUUCAGUCUAGUAUAUCCGAAAUACUCACCUGCACAACUUUUCAUUAGUGGAAGACAUUCAGAAGCUUCACGGAAAAGACAAAAUAGUUGCAUAUGUACCGUAAUACUAGCAGCUAAUUUCUUCCACGUCGACGGCGAUUGGAGAGAACUGCUCCCAAUAGCUGGAACACGUACAUAGCCAAGCGCAUGGCGACAACUGUGGCCACGAGCACCGACUCCCUCACCACCGAAGGCAACACCAUGCUCAAUGACACCUCCAACAGCAAAGCCGUGGCCGUUGACCUGACCACGUCCCCUCCCAUGCCCAUUGGCAUUGACACAACCACCAGGAUCAGCAACACCAAACCCAUGACCUUGGGCAAGGCCAUACCCAGGAGCAGGGACAAACCCCACCACGAGCCACACGACCACACACCUCACCAACGCCACGACCAAGGAUGAAUGCAACCAUCGUGUUCUCAUACGCGUCGGCUUCAGGAUCCCAGGGUAACCAGUUUCCCCAGUAGCCAGGCUUAGGAUCGGGAGCGGUAACCUGUUCUGCUGGCUGGUUUGCAGGAAUGACAACCUGAUUAUGUUGCCAGCCAAUAUCUAAGAAAGCUCCUCCUCCGCCUCCUCCUGUUGCGCUAGCUCCUCCAUGGCCUUGUCUCUUACGGCCCAAAGCUCAGCCAGAGGAUCUUCUGGAUUCUCUAUGAUAACAUCCUCGCUGAAGUGAAACACGGGCGGAAGACCUUGGGGAAAGGGAUUCGCCAUGGAAGAAAGGAUUGCAUAGUAGAGUACAAAGGAAAUAGUAGUUGCCGGUGCUACAACCGGCAGAUCUCGGAUAGGAGGUCCCAAGCUGUGGAUCUGGAAUGAUGGGUAACAGGAGACAAGGGGCACGAUGUUUUACCCAGUUUCAGGCCCUCCCGAAGAGGUUAAACCCUAUGUCCUGCUUGAUUAUAUUGAUGAUGGAGUAUUGAGUACAGGUUAAUCUGCCUUGAGACCGUAUGUUGUGUUCUAAACCCUAAGGCUAGUAAUCAUGAUUGUGAUUGUGCCUCCAUGGACUAAACCCUCCGGCUUAUAUAGGCACCAGGGGUAUCUAGGGUUACACAUGGUCGGUUGCCAACUAGGAAUAAACACGCCGAUGAUUGGAGUAGUCCUUGAAGUACAUGCCAAGUCUUCGGCAGUGCCUGUCUUGGUCACACCCGGGUUCGAGGCCUCCGGAGUCCUUCCUUGUGAGAUUGGUGGGCCGUAAGCUAGGUUGGUACCCCCUAGUCCAGGACACUGUUAGUAGCCCCUGAACUAGUCUUCGAAGCCGAGGACAUCAGAUACAUCCUUAGACCAAUGUUUCUGGCUUGGCAGGCGAGUCCCUCUGUCUAGAAGGCUUUCAUGUAAGCCCAGGAUCUCAGCAUCUAAAGACUUGAGAUAGCUUAGCCUCGAAGGCCUGCCACACAUGUGUGAAUAGUGGUUCUUACCUGACAACUUUUACCGAGCCAUCUCCACCUAUGGCACCAAGUGAGCCAGUUACUGUAACUCGAUUUGCGGCCUGAGACGGCUUUCUCAUGGGCAUGUCUCAUCAAUGCAGAGAUCGUGCUCCGUUUUUAGGGGAUAUCAUCAAGAAUUGUUUCACCCCAUGUGCGCAUAAUGGCAUGAAAGGUUGGAACAUGGAGAUUUAUUCGGCGCAGCAAGGGGACGCUUGAUAUUUUACUGAUCUAUAAAGACGAGGGGUAGUAAUCCCAUUUUCCCCUAUGCUUUCACCUCUUGCGCCAUUGCUCAAAGCCUCCAAAGCUCCAGCGCCCUAGAUCCAUUCCCAAAUAUUCGAGUUCCUCCAAGGUCUCGCCCCCUCUCCAGCGAUGUUCGACGCAGAGCUGAAGGGCAAGUGGGUGCCUUCCAUUCUUAUAGAGGGGACCAUAUAAGAGCUUCAAAACGCGGGCUACAUACCCACCGAAGCCAACUCUUGGGCGCUAGAGCCUGACCAGCGCAUCCCUACCCCCAAUCCAGGGGAGAGGGUAAUCUUCGUUCCUCACCUCAUCCGAGGUUGGGGCUUCCCUCUCCACCCCUUUGUGAGGGGUCUAAUAUUCUUUUACAGGCUAGGUUUUCACCAUCAGGCCCUGAACUCGAUUCUUCACAUAACGGCCUUCAUCACCAUUUGUGAAGCAUUCCUCCACGUCGAGCCACACUUCGGCCUGUGGCUGAAGACUUUCAGCAUAAAGCUGAAGAGCGGCGGCGCCUAGAUCACGAAAUGCGGUGGGGUCAUGAUGAGCAAGAUCUAGAGGGUGACCUGGCCAGAGGUCACUUUCAUGGAGACCAUCAAAGUGUGGCAGCGGGAGUGGUUUUACAUCAUCGAGCUACCCGCUGAAGGCCAACCGGAGGUUCCUGCCUUCACGACCGAGCCUCCGAGCAGAUUUGUCUCCUAAAUGAAGACAAGCUUGACAGGGGAAACCCUGAUGAGGUGGAGGCGCUUCAUAAGGGAAUUAAUCCAUCUUUGAUACAUCUCCAAUGUAUCUAUAAUUUUUUAUUGUUCCAUCCUAUUAUAGUAUCAAUCUUGGAUCUUUUAUAUGCAAUUAUAUAUCACUUUUUACGACCAACCUAUUAACCCAGUGCCAAGUGUCAGUUGUUGUUUUUUUGCCUAUUUGGUUUUCCAGGAUAUUAGUACCAACCGGAGUCCAAACGCUAUGAAACUUUUGGAUGACUUUUUUCUGGACAAGAGAGACCCUAGAAGCUUCGGGAGGAGACCAUACAAGAAGCGAGGAUACGACAAGGCAACAUGGUGCGCCCAGGGGGUAGUUUCACCCUGAUGCCUUGUAGGCCCCACGUGGCUCCGUCUGACCUAAUUCCACAUCUAUAAAUUCUCUAAAUUGGGAAUCCAACGGGGAGCGACCCAAAAUAUUUUUCCCGUCGGCAUAAGUUCCUGUUCUUUUAGAUCCCAUCUAGAGGCCUUUUCCGGCACCCUGCCGGAGGGGCAAUCGAUCAUGGAGGGCUUCUACAUCAACCUUGCAAAUGCUUCUAGAGUUCAACAAGCACUUCCCCGCCGCCCCUAUAGAGGUCAAGCUCAAGACAAACACCAGCUGCACAUGGAGGGUGACGGUGAGGGUGAUCAACGGCAGGGUCACCCUUGAUCAGGGUUGGGCCACCUUCACCGCCGUUCACCACAUCAUGAUCGGGUACAUGCUCACAUUCAAGCUGCUGACCCCUGACACCAUGAAGGUGAUCGUCUUCAACGAUGAGGGCAUCGAGGUGGUCACCAAGUGCAAGGAGCAUGACAAUGCUCUCGCCGUGACUGCCUAAGCUCCUGUUGCUCGUUCCUUGUUGGUUGUCGGUUUAAGACUUGGGUUUCGUUUAAAACAUAUCAUGCUAUGUUGGUUUAAAACUAGUGAUGCAUGGUUAAGACUUGUGUUUGUGCCUAAGUUUGUUCUGUUGCUCUAGUUUAGUUCUUAGUUUUUCAUGUGUGCCUCUGUUAACCUCACCACAUCGAGGAGGAGGUUACCACACAACUGUCCUGGAUGUAACCAAACAACUGGACUUGUGUUUCCCCUAAAACAAGUCCACAACCAAACAACAUGCCUUCUGUUUCGGCACAUGCAGGCUAGGGGGGAUGCAGGCAACCAAUCAACAUGCAGAGGUUGGUUUUUUACCUGCAUAUGCUCAGUGAUGUCGCUUGAAGCUACGUCGGUAUUUCCCCAAAGAGGAAGGGAUGAUGCAGCACAACGGCAUAGGUAUUUCCCUCAGAUAUGAAACCAAGGUUAUCGAACCAGUAGGAGAACCAAGCAACACAACGUAAAUAGCCCCUACACACAAAUAACAACACCUUGCAACCCAACAUGUUAAAGGGGUUGUCAAUCCCUUUUGGGGUACGGCGCCUCAAGAUAGGCAAAGGACGUGAGGUAAAUUUGUAGAUAGAAUAAAUAGAACGCGGAACAAAUAAAUUUCAGCAAGGUAUUUUUGUAUUUUUGGUUUAAUAGAUCUAAAAAUAAAUGCGAGGAAAAAGUAGAUCGCAAGGCACAUAUAUGAUAAAGAAGACCUGGGGGCCGUAGGUUUCACUAGUGGCUUCUCUCGAGAAAGAUAGCAAACGGUGGGAAAACAAUUACUGUUGGGCAAUUGAAAACUUGAAAACUUCAAUCACACAAAACUCAACAAAACCCUUGUGAGAUCCGUUAGUAAAAGAAAGCAAACCACUACUAUAAGUGUUGUGUCAAAACCAAUUUUUAUUUUGUUUUUGUAUUAUAUCUACUGUAUUCCAACUUUUCUAUGGCAAAAACUCAUCAAAGAAAACCAUAGAGCCAUCAAAAUAAGCAGACAACACAAAGAAAAUAGAAUCUGUCAAAACAGAACAGUCUGUAGUAAUCUGGAACUUUCGAAUACUUCUGUAACUCCGAAAAUUCUACCACAUAAGGAAGACCAGCAUAAUUUGUAUAUUAAUCUUCUGCAAAAGGAAUCAUGGCAAAAGCUCUUUUCUGUGAUUUAUGAUAAUUAUUUUCAUGAGUGCAAAGUUUCUGUCUUUUUCAGCAAGAUCAAACAACUAUCACCCCAGAAGAUCCUAAAGGCUUUACUUGGCACAAACACUAAUUAAAACACAAGAAACACAAUCAUACUAGUAGCAUAACUGUGCUAACACUCAGGAACAGAAAGCAAAAAAGAAAAAAAUAAAUUUUAUUCAUUGGGUUUCCUCCCAACAAGCGAUAUAGUUUUACGCCCCUAGCUAGGCAUAAAGCAAGGAUCUAAGUUUUGUCAUCCUUUUUCUUCUUAAUUUUCUUAGAGGUUUCUUCAUCAUGGGGUUUUGUAAACACAACAUAAAACAUAUUAUCCAUGGAAACUUUAGCAUUCCUUAGUUGGUUUUCAUCAUAGCCCCUUUGAUUACCCGCAACAAGCCAAGAGUAGUGUUGAUUAACAUUAUUAAAAACUUGUUGGAUUAUAUCUAUAACGGGACUUCCUUUUUAAGAUUCUCAUCAAAGAUCUUAUUAUCCCCAAGAAGAUGCCUUAGUGCUUAGUCACUAUUGUAGAUAAUUUCAUCUAUCAUGGGGGUUUCACGAUUCAUUCCAUAAAAAUAAAAGAUUUCCCUAGCUUCUCGUAUUAUGUAGUCAAAUUCAUUUAUAAGAACGAGAGUGGCCAACUUUUUGGCCCUAGGAUUCUUUAUGUCAGGGAUAUCAAAAAACAAUAUUUGCAAAGUGGGAUGGGUACGAAUAAAUUUACUUUCUAGUUUCAGAACUAGUGCUGAAAUAGCAUUCACAUAAGAUCUAGUAGUUUUAAGUAUAGGAGCAUCAUCAAGACUUAGAUUCCCAACACAACUGAAAAAAUAUUGAAUACGUUCUUUUCCCAUAACAUUCCCUUGCCCCAAGAUAAAAGUUUUAGCAUCCAAAUUUCCCGUACGUCCAAAUUUAGGAGUUAGGCCAUCAUCCGUUGGUGCCAUACCGAAAUCACUCAUGAUUGCAAGCAAAGGAUAGAUCUGACAAGAAAACAGCGAACAGACAAAGAGAGGCGAAUAAAACGACAAAUUUUUGUGAAGUGGGGGAGAGGAAAACGAGAGGCAAAUGGUGAAUAAUGUAAAUUGAAAGGAGAUGAGAUUUGUGAUUAGGAACCUGGUUAUGUUGAAGAUCCUCCCCGGCAACGGCGCCAGAAAUUCCUUUUGAUGUCGCUUGAGGCUACGUCGGUAUUUACCUAAAGAGGAAGGGAUGAUGCAGCACUGCGCCCGUAGGUAUUUCCCUCAGAUAUGAAACUAAGGUUAUCGAACCAGUAGGAGAACCAAGCAACACAACUAAAAAGCCCCUGCACACAAAUAACAACACCUCGCAACCCAAUGUGUUAAAGGGGUUGUCAAUCCCUUUCGGGGUACGGCGCCUCGAGAUAGCAAAGGACGUGAGGUAAAUUUGUAGAUAGGAUAAAUAGAUCGCAGAACAAAUAAAUAGCAACAAGGUAUUUUUUGUAUUUUUGGUUUAAUAGAUCUGAAAAUAAACGCAAGGAAAAAGUAGAUCGCAAGGCAAAUAUAUGAGAAAGAAGACCCGGGGGCCGUAGGUUUCACUAGUGGCUUCUCUCGAGAAAAAUAGCAAACGGUGGGAACACAAUUACUGUUGGGCAAUUGAUAGAACUACAAAUAAUCAUGACUAUAUCCAAGCAAUGAUCAUUACAUAGGCAUCACGUCCAAGAUUAGUAGACCGACUCCUGCCUGCAUCUACUACUAUUACUCCACACAUCGACCGCUAUCCAGCAUGCAUCUAGUGUAUUAAGUUCAUGGAAAAACGGAGUAAUGCAAUAAGAACGAUGACAUGAUAUAGACAAGAUCCGUUUAUGUAUUGCGGCAGAUAUGGAUCCUAUCUUUUUAUCCUUAGUAGCAACGAUACAUACGUGUCGGUUCCCUUUCUGUCACUGGGAUCAAGCACUGUAAGAUCGAACCCACUACAGGGCACCUCUUCCAAUUGCAAGAUAAGAUCAAGUUGGCCAAGCAAAACCCAAAUAUCGAUGAAGAAAUACGAGGCUAUAAGCAAUCAUGCAUAUAAGAGAUCAAAGAAACUCAAAUAACUUUCAUGGAUAUAAAAAGAAAUAACUGGUCAUAAACUCGAAGUUCAUCAGAUCCCAACAAACACACUGCAAAAAGAGUUACAUCAUAUGGAUCUCCAAGAGACCAUUGUAUUGAUAAUCAAGAGAGAGAGGAAGCCAUCUAGCUACUAACUACGGACCCGAAGAUCUACAAAGAACUACUCACACAUCAUCGGAGAGGCACCAAUGGAAGUGGUGAACCCCUCUGUGAUGGUGUCUAGAUUCGAUAUCGUGGUUUUGGACUCUGCGGCGGCUGGAUGAAUAUUUCGUCAACUCCCCUAGGGUUUCUGGAAUAUUGGGGUAUUUAUAGAGCAAAGAGGCGGUCCAGGGGGCACCCGAGGUGGGCACAACCCACCAGGGCGCACCUGGGCCUCCUGGCACGCCCUGGUGGGUUGUCCCCUCCUUGGGACUCCCCCCAGGUGCAACUAGGGCCCAACUUCUUCCUUUUGGUCGAUAAAAAAUCAUCGUAAAUUGGCGUGGCAUUUGGACUUCGUCUGAUAUUUAUUUCCUGUGAUGUAAAAAACAUGUAGAAAACAACAACUGGCACUUGGCACUAUGUCAAUAGGUUAGUACCAAAAAAUGAUAUAAAAUGACUAUAAAAUGAUUAUAAAACAUCCAAGAUUGAUAAUAAAACAACAUGGAAUAAUAAAAAAUUAUAGAUACGUUGGAGACGUAUCAGCAUCCCCAAGAUUAAUUCCUACUCGUCCUCGAGUAGGUAAGUGAUAAAAACAGAAUUUUGAUGUGGAGUGAUGUUUAUCAUGUCAUAUCAUAUUCUUUUCUUUAUAGCAUGGACAUUUGGACUUUUAUGUGAUUCAAAGCAAUAGUCUAGUUUUGACAUAAUAAUUUAGAUACUCAAGUAUAUCAACAAGCAACCAUGUCUUUCAAAAUAUCAAUGCUAAAACAAGUUAUCCCUAGCCCAUCAUGCUCAAACAUUGAUCCAUUCAUGAAACACACUCGAAUAUUAGCUACACCCAAUACUUAAGUACGAUCAUAUUGCCCCCUAGUUGGUGCUUUUAUAAGAGAGGAUGGAGACUCAAUUUCAAAAAUAAAAGUUGCAUAAAGUAAAAGAAAGGCCCUUCAUAGAGGGAAGUAGGGAUUUGUAGAGGUGCUAGAGCUCAAAGCGAAAAAAAUAGAGAUAAAAACAUUUUGGGAGGUGUUUCCAUCCCACCAACGAAAAUGACUCAGAGCAUCCCAACACUUUCCAUGCUAGAUAUAUCAUAGGUGGUUCCCAAACAGAAAAUAAAGUUUAUUCAUUUUUCCACCAUAACUUUCACUUUCCAUGGCUAGCCGAAUCCACGGGUGCCCUCCAUACCAACACUUUCCAAGGAAUUUAUUAUUUGACAACAUAAAGUAAAUUCAUUUUUGCAUUUCAGGACUGGGCAUCCCUAAUACCUUUGCCUUACUCUCGUGCAAUGACAAGUGAAUAAACACUCGUCGUGAGAAUAACACAUCUAGCAUGAAAAAUAUUAACCACUCGUUACCGUUCCGCGAGCGAAACAAACACACAAAAGAGAAGUUUAUUUUGAAAAUUAGAGAUGGCACAUGCAAAUUUGCUUAGAAUGGCAAAAGAAUACUACUUAUAGGUAGAUAUAGUGGACUCAUGUGGCAAAACUGGUUGAAAGGAUUUUGGAUGCACAAGUAGAGGUCAUACUUGGUGUAAAAUGAAGGCUAGCAAAAAGAUUGAGAAGCGACCAACCAAGAAAUGAAUAAUCUCAUAAGCAAGCAUUAAGCAUAAUUAACACUGAAUAAUGCACCACAAGUAGGAUAUAAUUUUCAUUGCAUGAUUAUUGACUUUCGUGCAUGCAUAGGGAAUCACAAACCUUAACACCAAUAUUCUUACUAGAGCACAAUUACUCAUCAAUUCACUAGUGGCUUCUCUCGAGAAAGAUAGCAAACGGUGGGAAAACAAUUACUAUCGAGCAAUUGAUAGAACUUCAAAUAAGCAUGACGAUAUCCAGGCAAUGAUCAUUACAUAGGCAUCACAUCCAAGAUUAGUAGACCGACUCCUGCCUGCAUCUACUACUAUUACUCCACACACCGACCGCUAUCCAGCAUGCAUCUAGUGUAUUAAGUUCAUGGGAAAACGGAGUAAUGCAAUAAGAACGAUGGCAUGAUGUAGACAAGAUCUGUUUAUCUAUUGCGGUAGAUAUGGAUCCCAUUUUUUUUAUCCUUAGUAGCAACGAUACAUACGUGUCAGUUCCCUUUCUGCCACUGGGAUCAAGCAUCGUAAGAUCGAACCAACUACCGGGCACCUCUUCCCAUUGAAAGAUAAAUAGAUGAAGUUGGCCAAAAAAAACCAAAUAUCGAUGAAGAAAUACGAGGCUAUAAGCAAUCAUGCAUAUAAGAGAUCAAAGAAACUCAAAUAACUUAACUGGAUAUAAAAAGAUAUAACUGAUCAUAAACUCGAAGUUCAUCAGAUCCCAGCAAACACACCGCAAAAAGAGUUACAUCAUAUGGAUCUCCAAGAGGCCAUUGUAUUGAUAAUCAAGAGAGAGAGAGAGGAAGCCAUCUAGCUACUAACUACGGACCCAAAGGUCUACAAAGAACUACUCACGCAUCAUCGGAGAGUCACCAAUGGAAGUGGUGAACCCCUCCGUGAUGGUGCCUAGAUUGGAUCUCGUGGUUUUGGACUCUGCGGCGGCUAGAUGAAUAUUUCAUUGACUCCCCUAGGGUUUCUGGAAUAUUGGGGUAUUUAUAGAGCAAAGAGGCGGUCCAGGGCGCACCCGAGGUGGACACAACCCACCAGGGCGCGCCUAGGCCUCCUGGCGCACCCUGGUGGGUUGUCCCCUCCUCGGGAGUCCCCCUAGGUGCAACCAGGGCCCAACUUCUUCCUUCUAGUCCAUAAAAAGUCAUCGUAAAUUAGCGUGGCAUUUGGAAUCUGUCUGAUAUUGAUUUGCUGCGAUGUAAAAAACAUGCAGAAAACAACAACUGGCACUUGGCACUAUGUCAAUAGGUUAGUACCAAAAAAUGAUAUAAAAUGACUAUAAAAUGGUUAUAAAACAUCCAAGAUUGAUAAUAAAAAAGCAUGAAAUAAUCAAAAAUUAUAGAUACGUUGGAGACGUAUCACUCAGCCAGGCCCAGCUGGGACAAGUAUGCAAAGUGCCUGAAGAUAUGUAGGUAACCAAACCCAUCCCUAAUGUGUGGGCCCGGCUUAUUGGGCUGGAGCCCAAAUUGACUUAUGGUAUUUAAUUUCAAGUUUGACAAGUCUAUACUCUAUAGCAAAAUUUAUCAAAGUCUUCAAAAACAAAUUUACUUCAUUAGAUUCAUUAUGAAGUGGAUUUUCAUAUUACAUAUAUUUGAUAUUGCAUAUCUUUGGGGGUUUUUCAAUAGACUUGGUCAAACUUUAAAAAGUUUGACAUAGAGAAUCCUAGAACUAAAAUUAUGUUGGAACCGAGGGAGUACAUUUCAAACAUGUUUAAAUUUUAACAUUUCAAUUCAUUUAUUUUACUCAAACAAUUUAACUGUGUGAAAUUGCUUAUUUGUCAAGCUGCUUGCUUGAGUAUGUAAAAGUAAUAUUUUGAAAAUACAACUAGAAUUUAAACAUGCUAUUUUCUGAAGCUGCUUAUUUCACCGAGUUUAGUUGUGAAGUUAGUUAUUUCAUUCAUUUCAAUUUUCAAUGUGAAAUAGUUUUUCUUCAUAUAUGUGAAAUUGAUUUCAAUUUGUGAAGUUCCUUAUUGCAGUGUGUUGAUGUCUACUACACAAUCUUCUUCUUGUAGACGUUGUUGGGCCUCCAAGUGCAGAGGUUUGUAGGACAGUAGCAAAUUUCCCUUAAGUGGAUGACCUAAGGUUUAUCAAUCCGUAGGAGGCGUAGGAUGAAGAUGGUCUCUCUCAAGCAACACCUGCAACCAAAUAACAAAGAGUCUCUUGUGUCCCCAAAACACCCAAUACAAUGGUAAAUUGUAUAGGUGCACUAGUUUAGUGAAGAGAUGGUGAUACAAGUGCAAUAUGGAUGGUAGAUAUAGGUAUUUGUAAUCUGAAAAUAUAAAAACAGCAAGGUAACUAAUGAUAAAAGUGAGCGUAAACGGUAUUGCAGUGCUAGGAAACAAGGCAUAGGGUUCAUACUUUCACUAGUGCAAGUUCUCUCAACAAUAAUAACAUAAUUGGAUCAUAUAACUAUCCCUCAACAUGCAACAAAGAGUCACUCCAAAGCCACUAAUAGCAGAGAACAAACGAAGAGAUUAUGGUAGGGUACGAAACCACCUCAAAGUUAUCCUUUCUAUUCUAUCUAUUCAAGAGUCCGUAGUAAAAUAACAUGAAGCUAUUCUUUCCGUUCAAUCUAUCAUAGAGUUCAUACUAGAAUAACACCUUAAGACACAAAUCAACCAAAACCAUAAUGUCACCUAGAUACUCCAUUGUCACCUCAAGUAUCCAUGGGCAUGAUUAUACGUUAUGCAUCACACAAUCUCGGAUUCAUCUAUCCAACCAACACAAAGUAGUUCAAAGAGUGCCCCAAAGUUUCUACCAUAGAGUCAAGACGAAAACAUGUGCAAACCACUAUGCAUAGGUUCAUGGGCGGAACCCGCAAGUUGAUCACCAAAACAUACAUCAAGUGGAUCACGUGAUAUCCCAUUGUCACCACAGAUAAGCACGGCAAGACAUACAUCAAGUGUUCUCAAAUCCUUAAAGACUCAAUCCGACAAGAUAACUUCAAAGGUAAAACUCAAUCCAUCACAAGAGAGUAGAGGGGGAGAAACAUCAUAAGAUCCAACUAUAAUAGCAAAGCUCGCGAUACAUCAAGAUCGUGCCAUAGAGAGAACACGAGAGAGAGAGAUAUCAUAGCUACUGGUACAUACCCUCAGCCCCAAGGGUGAACUACUCCCUCCUCAUCAUGGAGAGCGUCGGGAUGAUGAAGAUGGCCACCGGUGAGGGAUCCCCCCUCUGACAGGGUGCCGGAACGGGCUCCCGAGAGGUUUUUGGUGGCUACAGAGGCUUGCGGCGGCGGAACUCCCGAUCUAUUGUGUGUUUCGAUGUUUUUAGGGUAUAUGGGAAUAUAUAGGCGAAAGAAGUCGGUCGAGGGAGCCUCGAGGAGCCCACGAGGGUGGAGGGUGCGCCUAGGGGGGUGGGCGCACCCCCUAUCUCGUGGCCUCCUCGACGCUUCCCUGGCUUGCACUCCAAGUUCCCGGGAUUGCUUCUGUUCCAAAAAUAACUUUUCCGAAGGUUUCAUUCCGUUUGGACUCCGUUUGAUAUUCCUUUUUCUUCGAAACACUGAAAUAGGCAAGAAAACAACAAUAUGGGUUGGGCCUCCGGUUAGUCCCAAAAAUGAUAUAAAAGUGUAAAGUAAAGCCCAUAAGCAUCCAAAAUGGGUAAUAUAAUAGCAUGGAACAAUCAAAAAAUUUAGAUAUGUUGGAGACGUAUCAAGCAUCCCCAAGCUUAAUUCCUGCUCAUCCUCGAGUAGGUAAAUGAUAAAAACAGAAUUUUUGAUGUGGAAUGCUACCUAGCAUAUUUCUCAAUGUAAUUUUCUUUAUUGUGGCAUGAAUUUUCAGAUCCAAAUGAUUCAAAAUAAAAGUUCAUAUUGACAUAAGAAAUAGUAAUACUUCAAGCAUACUUAAUCAAGCAAUCAUGUCUUCUCAAAAUAACAUGGCCAAAGAAAGUUAUCCCUACAAAAUCAUAUAGUCUGGCUGUUGCUCUAUCUUCAUUACACAAAGUAUUUAAUCAUGCACAACCCCGAUGACAAGCCAAGCAAUUGUUUCAUACUUUAGUAAUCUCAAACUUUUUCAACUUUCACGCAAUACAUGAGCGUGAGCCAUGGACAUAGCACUAUAUGUGGAAUAGAAUGGUGGUUGUGGAGAAAACAAAAAGGGAGAAGAUAGUCUCACAUCAACUAGGCGUAUCAACGGGCUAUGGAGAUGCCCAUUAAUAGAUAUCAAUGAGUGAGUAGGGAUUGCCAUGCAACGGAUGCACUAGAGCUAUAAAUGUAUGAAAGCUCAACAAAAGAAACUAAGUGGGUGUGCAUCCAACUCGCUUGCUCAGGAAGACCUAGGGCACUUUGAGGAAGCUCAUCAUUGGAAUAUACAAGCCAAGUUCUAUAAUAAAAAAUUCCCACUAGUAUAUGAAAGUGACAACAUAGGAGACUCUCUAUCAUGAAGAUCAUGGUGCUACUUUGAAGCACGGGUGUGGUAAAGAGGAUAGUAGCAUUGUCCCUUCUCUCUUUUUCUCUCAUUUCUCUUUUUUUCUUUUCUUCUUUUUUAUUUUUCUUUUUCUCUUUUUUUGGGCCUUUUUUUUCUUCUUUUUGUCCUUUCUUCUUUUUUCUUUUCUUUUUUUCUCUCUUUUUUUUCAUAAACCCCGACUUGUGGGGGAAUCAUAGUCUCCAUCAUCCUUUCCUCACUGGGACAAUGCUCUAAUAAUGAAGAUCAUCAUACUUUUAUUUACUUACAACUCAAGAAUUACAACUCAACAAGAUAUUACUCUAUAAGAAUGCCUCCGGCGGUGUACCGGGAUAUGCAAUGAAUCAAGAGCGACAUGUAUGAAAAUUAUGAAGGUGGCGUUGCCACAAAUACGAUGUCAACUACAUGAUCAUGCAAAGAGCAAUAUGACAAUAAUGAUGCGUGUCAUAUAAACGGAACGGUGGAAAGUUGCAUGGCAAUAUAUCUCGGAAUGGCUAUGGAAACGCCAUAAUAGGUAGGUAUGGUGGCUGUUUUGAGAAAGGUAUAUGGUAGGUGUAUGGUAUCGGCGAAAGUUGCGCGGCACAAGAGAGGCUAGCAAUGGUGGAAGGGUGAGAGUGCGUAUAAUCCAUGGACUCAACAUUAGUCAUAAAGAACUCAUAUACUUAUUGCAAAAAUCUACAAGACAUUUAAAACAAAGUACUACGUGCAUGCUCCUAGGGGGAUAGAUUGGUAGGAAAAGACCAUCGCUCGUCCCCGACCGCCACUCAUAAGGAAGACAAUCAAUAAAUAAAACUGUGCUCCAACUUCAUCACAAAGCGGUUCACCAUACGUGCAUGCUACGGGAAUCACAAACUUCAGCACAAGUAUUCUUUAAUUUCAUAAUCACCCAACUAGCAUGACUCUAAUAUCACCACCUCUAUGUCUCAAAACAAUUAUCAAGUAUCAAAUUGAUCAUAGCAUCCAAUUCACUUUCUAUGAUAGUUUUUAUUAUACCCAACUUGGAUGCCCAUCAUUCUAGGACCAAUUUUAUAACCAUAGCAAAUACCAUGCUGUUCUAAAAGACUCUAAAAAUAAUAUAAGUGAAGCAUGAGAGACUAAAAAUUUCUACAAAAUAAAGCCACCGCCGUGCUCUAAAAGAUAUAAGUGAAGCACUAGAGCAAAAGACAAACUACUCCGAAAAGAUAUAAGUGAAGAUUAAUGAGUAGUCAAAUAAUUGUGCAACUAUGUGAAGACUCUCUAACAUUUAAGAAUUUCAGAUCUUGGUAUUUUAUUCGAACAGCAAGCAAAAUAAAGCAAAAGAAAAUGACGCUCCAAGCAAAACACAUAUCAUGUGGUGAAUAAAAAUAUAGCUCCAAGUAAAGUUACCGAUGAACGAAGACGAAAGAGGGGAUGCCAUCCGGGGCAUCCCCAAGAUUAGGCUCUCGGUUGUCCUUGAAUAUUGCCUUGGGUGCCUUGGGCAUCCCCAAGCUUAGGCUCUUGCCACUCCUUAUUCCAUAGUCCAUCGAAUCUUUACCCAAAACUUGAAAACUUCACAACACAAAACUCAACAGAAAACUCGUAAGCUCCGUUAGUAUAAGAAAAAAAACCAUCACUUAGGUACUGUAAUGAACUCAUUAUAAAUUCAUAUUGGUGUAAUAUCUACUGUACUCCAACUUCUCUAUGGUUCAUAUCCUCCGAUACUACUCAUAGAUUCAUCAAAAUAAGCAAACAAUACAUAGAAAACAGAAUCUGUCAAAAACAGAACAGUCUGUAGUAAUCUGUAUCAAACGUAUACUUCUGGAACUCCAAAAAUCCUACCAAAUUAGGAAGUCCUACGAAAUUUGUGUAUAAAUCCAGAGCAAAAAUAAUCAUAUCAUAAGAAGGUUUCUGUGAAUUAUCAAAACUAAUUUACUGGGUGCAAAAGUUUCUGAUUUUCAGCAGGAUCAACACAACUAUCACCAAAAGCCAUCCUAAAGGUCUUACUUGGCACUUUAUUGAAAAAAAAGCUAUAAAACAUGAUUAAUACAGUAGCAUAAUCAUGUGGACACACAAAAACAGUAAGUAUAAAUAUUGAGAUGUCUCCCAACAAGCGCUUUUCUUUAAUGCCUUUCUAGCUAGGCAGGAUGAUGAAAAUGAUGCUCACAUAAGAGAUAAGAAUUGAAACAUAACGGGAGCAUCAUGAAGCAUAUGACUAGCACAUUUAAGUCUAACCCUCUUCCUAUGGAUAGGGAUUUUGUGAGCAAACAACUUAUGGGAACAAUAAUCAACUAGCAUAGGAAGGCAAAACAAGCAUAACUUCAAGAUUUUAAGCACAUAGAGAGGAAACUUGAUAUCAUUGCAAUUCCUACAAGCAUAUAUUCCUCCCUCAUAAUAAUUUUCAGUAGAAUCAUGAAUGAAUCUAACAAUAUAACAAGCACCUAAAUCAUUCUUUUCAUGAUCUACUUGCAUAGAAAAUUUACUACUCUCCACAUAAGCAAAAUUCUUCUCAUUCGAAAUAGUGAGAGUAUCAUAAGAGACUCGAAUACUAAAAAUUGUUUCCACAUUAAAAGAGUAAUGUUCAGAAAAAGGGUAAUCAUAAUCAUGACAAGUUUUAUAAAUAUAAUCAUGACUACUUUUUAUAGCAUAAGUUUCAUCACAAUAAUCAUCAUAAGUAGCAACUUUGUUCUCAUCAUAAUCGAUUGAAACCUCUUCCAAGAUAGUGGAAUCAUCACUAAAUAAAGUUGACACUCUUCCAAAUCCAUUUUCAUAUUCAUCACAAUAAGAUUCAACAUCCUCCAAAAUAGUGGGAUCACUACUUCCUAAAGUUGACACUCUUCCAAACCCACUUUCAUCAAUAUAAUCAUCAUAGGUAAGAGGCAUACUACCAUCAUAACAACUUUGCAUAUCAAAACUUGGGAUGCUAAAAAUAUCAUCUUCAUUAAACAUAGCAUCCCCAAGCUUGGGACAAACAUUAAUUGCAGAAAAUAUAUUCUAAAAUAUGUCAUCCUCAUCAAACAUAGCUUCCCCAAGCUUGGGCCUUUUCAUAUCAUAAGCAUAAUCACUCUCAUCAUUAAUAGUAUGGAUAGCACCAAUAGUACAACAAUUAUCAUCAUCACAAUGAGUAGUAGGAGCAACUUCAUUUGGGAGGGAUACCUUUUUACCUUUGUUGCUCCUUCUUUUCUUUUUCUUCUUCACAUUAUGUGUGGGCUCAACCUUCUUCUUUGAGCUCCUUAUUGAUGAGAUUGGUUGAAUAGAAAGCUCCUCCUUGUUACCUGAUUCAUCAUAAGAAAUAAUAGGAGGAGAUUGGAAGUCUCUUCCCUUUCAUUAGUAUUCUCAUCAUCUUCUAUUUGCUUUCUUUUCUUUAUGUAAUUGGCAAUAUAAGGGUUUUCAAUGCAAUUCACCGCAUGAUACAUAUAAAUUUCCUCUAGAUCAAACUCAAGAAGGUUAUGACGGGAAAUUCUGGAAGAAAUUUAGUUAAACUUUUCAUUUCUUCGUAACCAUAAGCAAACUAAGUUCAUUAUAAUGUGCAAGGGAUAUCAAAUCAUCACAAAUUUUUGGACACGAUUCGAUCACAAAACAAUUUGCAUCGGAGAUGUAAAUGACCACUUUCAUUGCAAAGUUCACAAGUACGGCGAAGGAAAUAUAAUUCUUCAGCACUCACCCUUAGCCUUUCUUGCAACAAUUUAGUUUCUACAUACUUAUGCCUCUUGCAAUAUCUAUCUUCUCUAUUUGGUGUAUCUAUGCAAACCCAAUCUCUCCACAAAAAUCAACAUGCUUAUAGGAGACAUUUUCAUCAUAACUAGUGCAACCACCAUUAGUACUAUGGAUACUCAAAGAGUUCAUACUAACAACAUUGCAAUCAUGCUCAUCAUUCAAAGAUUUAGUACCAAACAUUUUAAUGCAUUCUUCUUCUAGCACUUGAGCACAAUUUUCCUUUCCAUCAUUCUCACAAAAGAUAUUAAAAAGAUGAAGCGUAUGAGGCAAACUUAACUCCAUUUUUUUGUAGUUUUCUUUUAUAUACUAAACUAGUGAUAAAACAAGAAACAAAAAGAUUCGAUUGCAAGAUCUAAAGAUAUACCUUCAAGCACUCACCUCUCCGGCAACGGCGACAGAAAAGAGCUCGAUGUCUACUACACAACCUUCUUUUUGUAGACGUUGUUGGGCCUCCAAGUGCGGAGGUUUGUAGGACAGUAGCAAAUUUCCCUCAAGUGGAUGACCUAAGGUUUAUCAAUCCGUAGGAGGAGUAGGAUGAAGAUGGUCUCUCUCAAGCAACCCUGCAACCAAAUAACAAAGAGUCUCUUGUGUCCCCAACACACCCAAUACAAUGGUAAAUUGUAUAGGUGCACUAGUUCGGCGGAGAGAUGGUGAUACAAGUGCAAUAUGGAUGGUAGAUAUAGGUAUUUGUAAUUUGAAAAUAUAAAAACAGCAAGGUAACUAAUGAUAAAAGUGAGCAUAAACGGUAUUGCAAUGCUAGGAAACAAGGCAUAGGGUUCAUACUUUCACUAGUGCAAGUUCUCUCAACAAUAAUAACAUAAUUGGAUCAUAUAACUAUCCCUCAACAUGCAACAAAGAGUCACUCCAAAGCCACUAAUAGCGGAGAACAAACAAAUAGAUUGUGGUAGGGUAUGAAACCACCUCAAAGUUAUCCUUUCUGUUCUAUCUAUUCAAGAGUCCGUAGUAAAAUAACAUGAAGCUAUUCUUUCCGUUCAAUCUAUCAUAGAGUUCAUACUAGAAUAACACCUUAAGGCACAAAUUAACCAAAACCCUAAUGUCACCUAGAUACUCCAUUGUCACCUCAAGUAUCCAUGGGCAUGAUUAUACGAUAUGCAUCACACAAUCUCGGAUUCAUCUAUCCAACCAACACAAAGUACUUCAAAGAGUGCCCCAAAGUUUCUACCGGAGAAUCAAGACGAAAACAUGUGCAAACCACUAUGCAUAGGUUCAUGGGCAGAACCCGCAAGUUGAUCACCAAAACAUACAUCAAGUGGAUCACGUGAUAUCCCAUUGUCACCACAGAUAAGCACGACAAGACAUACAUCAAGUGUUCUCAAAUCCUUAAAGACUCAAUCCGACAAGAUAACUUCAAAGGGAAAACUCAAUCCAUCACAAGAGAGUAGAGGGGGAGAAACAUCAUAAGAUCCAACUAUAAUAGCAAAGCUCGCGAUACAUAAAGAUCGUGCCAUAGAGAGAACACGAGAGAGAGAUAUCAAACACAUAGCUACUGGUACAUACCCUCAACCCCGAGGGUGAACUACUCCCUCCUCAUCAUGGAGAGCGCCGAGAUGAUGAAGAUGGCCAUCGGUGAGGGACCCCCCCCCCCCUUUGGCAGGGUGCCGGAACGGGCUCCCGAGAGGUUUUUGGUGGCUACAGAGGCUUGCGGCGGCGGAACUCCCGAUCUAUUGUGUGUUUCAAUGUUUUUAGGGUAUAUGGGAAUAUAUAGGCGAAAGAAGUCGGUCGGGGGAGCCUCGAGGGGCCCACGAGGGUGGAGGACGCGCCCGGGGGGGCUAUCUCGUGGCCUCCUCGACGCUUCCCUGGCUUGCACUCCAAGUUCCCGGGAUUGCUUCUGUUCCAAAAAUAACUUUUCCGAAGGUUUCAUUCUGUUUGGACUCCGUUUGAUAUUCCUUUUCUUCGAAACGCUGUAGGCAAUAAAACAACAAUAUGGGCUGGGCUCCGGUUAGUAGGUUAGUCCCAAAAAUGAUAUAAAAGUGUAAAGUAAAGCCCAUAAACAUCCAAAACGGGUAAUAUAAUAGCAUGGAACAAUAAAAAAUUAUAGAUACGUUGGAGACGUAUUGUCAGGACCCCGACUCAAUGCCACAUCGAUCUAGCAUGUAACACCUCAUAUCACUUUGCGGCCUCACGCACGGUAUCCCCACGGGUGUCGUCUUACCCUUUCCCGGGACCGUUUGCGCAUUUUGGUACAUGUAUAUGAUGGUGUCGCUAACAUCCAUAUGAUAAAGAGCCCGGGCUGACAUGGCUAGUCGUAAACCCAAAGUGGCACUAACUUACAGGGACAGGCAUCCAUGACCCAGCAUCGAACGUGUCGGUCAUCAGCGAGUGAAUCCAGGCUGUAGCACUGGGCUAACAGGACUCCGGUGAACCGGGCUGUAGCGGGCUAGCAGGACUCUGGUAUUCAUCGCGUGACAUUUCCCCGAAGGGACAGACACAGGAUCGAAGAAGGACACAUGCCGGCCAGCCUAAGUGUUCCGGAGCAGUAGCAAGCUACCAGGGCUCAGUGGAAGCACUAGGAGACAUUUCCCAGUAAGAGAGGCUACUAAGGAUAACAACUAGAUAGUCAUAUCCCACACAUAGCAAUACACAUUACACGUACGCAUAAUAUGCAAGUAUGUGCUGUACAACAUGGCAUCACAGCAUAACUCAACAAUCAUAUAGAUAAAGGCUCAGAAGAGCCAUCAUAGCAUAUAUUGCAAACAGGGGUCACAAAACCCAUCAUACAGAGCAUACAAGCAACAAGCGGAAGCAUUACAUGUCUGGGUACAGACAUCUACAAAUGAAAAAGGCUGAAGAGCCUGACUAUCUACAACAUCCGAUCAAGAUCGUAGCUGAGGUACUAGCUACUAGUCGAAGUCCACGAGAACACUAGUAAGACCGAAGUCUCCGCUGCAAAAACAUAAAUAAAGCAACAUGAGUACAAAGGUACUCAGCAAGACUUACAUCAGAUCCUAUCAUACAUGCAUUUGUACCAAGAGGGUAAUGUGGGGUUUGGUUGCAGCAAGCCAGCUUUGACUCUGUGGCUAUCCUGUUCUACGACUACCAGAAACUCUGGAGGUGAAACAACGUACACGAGUCCACUAAUCACCAUACAAUACACUACUAUGGAUUCAUCCCCGUCUCCCUACGAGAAGGCCAUCCAUAGCACUCACACUUGUCUUGAGCAUUUUUUAGUAUCCACUUCAAGUUGUCUAUGUACCAUGUAAGCAUCCAAGAAGUCCAUAACCGCGGACCCGGCUAUUCGAAUAGAUCAUGUUAACCCUGCAGGGGUGUACUUCUUCACACACGCUCUCGCCACUUACCGCCAUGUACACGUCAUGUAUCUCGGCAACCUUCAAGCGGAAGCCUGGCGAGGGUGUCGGCCACGACCUGACUAACCACACAAGACUCUAGUCCAGGUUUAUUGCCUAUUCGGGUUCCAUCCGCAAGGAGAUCCGGCCGGGGUGUCGCUCACGGCCCCAAACGAUGUGAGCAGGGUUCCCGAGCCCACCAACCGGGUGCCACUCGGUACACCGUGCCACGUGUGCCUAGUCUGUCCCAAGCCCACCCUGCCGGGUGCCACUUGGUAGAAAAAUAGCACUACCUACAAACACCAGAAACUAGUUGCGACUCCUGGACAGAGACCAAGUUGGUUAAUAAGUCGAGAGGGGCACUUAAGCAUUCCAAUGUGUGGUAGUAUCGAGUCAUUGGACAACAUACAAAGAACUCAGUGCUUAAGGACGGUUCCAGCGAGACAACCCACCAUGUACUCCUACAUGGCCUCUCACCGCUACCUUUACCAAAUCGUGUUCACACACUUCACUCUCAGCAUCAGAACAUAUCGUGACACUCCAAUUCAUUCCCAAUGAAUCAGACCUGACACAACUCUAAGCAAUAGCAGGCAUAGCAUGGUAGGAACACAUCAGUGGCUUCAAUCAACUCCUACACAUGCUAGUGGGUUUCAACUAUUUACUGUGGCAAUGACAGGUCAUGCAGAGGAAUGGGUUCAACUACCGCAGCACAAAGUAGCAGAUGAAUCGUUGUUGUCCUAAUGCAAUAACUGAGAGCAGGAGCGAGAGAGUAGGGUUUUAUCGAAAUGAACAAGGGGGGUUGCUUGCCUGGUAAAUCAACAAGGGAGGCACUGCUUCACAGACAGGUACUCUGGAACGUCUCCGGAGCAGGACCUAUCGAGAAGGAACGGUGCCGGCAAUCAAUACACAAUCAUAUGCAACAAUAUGAUGCAUGAACAUGGCAUGUAGAUGUGAUGCUGCUGAGCUAAUGCAACUAGUGUUCAAUUGGUUUGAAGUCCAUUUGAACCAAAGGUUCAAAUGCAUUUCUAAAUUAGGUCUCUUAUAGAUGCCAUAAUGUGUUUUCUCAUAUUCAGCAUGUAUAGGUUGGUUUGUCAUGCAUGAAACUAGUACAGAUGGAAAGAUUGCAUUUUUCUGAUAAUUUUUCAUAUAUAAAUUAUUUCAAUCUGAGCUACGGUUGAAUUUCUAUGAAUUUUUGAAGAUUAAAUCAUUUUCUGGAUUUUCUGAAUUAUUUUAAUUCCAGAAAAUGUAUAAUUGCGUCAGCAUGACGUCAUCAUUGCAUCAGCGGUCAACGCGGCUGUCCAGGUCAAACCUGACGUGUGGGACCCACACGUCAGUGACACUGGGGUUAACAGGGUUAAUUAAAAGGUUAGGGGGGGGGUCGGGCCCACUGGUCAGCAUCAGGGGGGGGGUUAGUUAACGGUGAUUAGCACUAAGCUAAUCACCUGACGGGCCGGCCCCACCUGGCAGGGCUCAGGCGAUGGGGGCUCGUCGCCGGCGACCUCUGGACGCGGCGGAGUCCGCGCCACAGGCCACGGGGACGGCGUCUGAGAGCACCGGGGUGUAGCCCGGGCUCUCGCGCAUCUGGUAGGGGAGGUGGAAGCAGCAGGGGAGGCCGGAGCUCGCCGGAGCGAAGCUCGGGGCGGCGGCCGGAGUUCGGGCGCGAGCGGGAUCGGGCUGCGGGGCACGGGGAGGCCACCUGAGGGGCUCGGCGGCACCCUCGUGGCACCAGGAGCGCGAAGGGAGGCUUGGUUUGGGCGGAGGCGGGCUGAGACGGCGACGGCGACAAGGACGGCGGCGGGAGGCUUCGGCCGUGGUGGGAAGCGGCGCUAUGGCACGGGAACGGGAGGGAGAAGAGAGGGGAACGGUGGAGGAGCUCACCGCGGAUCCAGCGAGCGCGAGGACGAGGUCGGGGAUACCCGGAAGCUCCCGAAUCAACGGCGAGUACCCACGGCGGCCGGAGGGGAGGAUGGCGACGGCGAUGGCUCCACGGGAUGCCCCGUCUUGCUUGGCUCGACGAGGAGGUAGAGGGGGUCGCGGCGGAGCUCGGGGGCUCUACGGAGGGGCGAGGGGACGGCGGGGAGCGCGUCGGUGACGAGCUGCGGCGGCGGCAGUGCUUCGGGUGAGAGGGAGAGAGAGCAGGGGGAGAGGAGGAGGGCGAGGGAGAGUGAGAGCGGUGCGGGGCAGCUGCGUGGCGACGUUCCGGACGUCCAGGCGUCGAGGGGGAGGACAGGCAGGCAGGUGCCGUGGCGGCACGGCGGUGCGCACGCGCCGGCCACACGCCUCUGGCCUCCUGGCGGGAGGUGGAGGACGACUGGCGCAAACGCUGUCAGGACCCCGACUCGAUGUCACAUCGAUCUAGCCGGUAACACUUCAUAUCACUUUGCGGCCUCACGCACGGUGUUCCCACGGGUGUCGCCUUACCUUUGCCCGGGACCGUUUGCGCCUUUUGGCUCACGUAUAUGAUAGUGUCGCUAGCAUCCAUAUGAUAAAGAGCCCGGGCUGACAUGACUAGUCGUAAACCCAAAGUGGCACAGACUUACAGGGACAGGCAUCCAUGACCCAGCUUCGAACGUGUCGGUCAUCAGCGAGUGGGUCCGGGCUGUAGCACUGGGCUAGCAGGACUCCGGUAAACCGGGCUGUAGCGGGCUAACAGGACUCCGGUACUCAAAGCGUGACAUUUCCCCGAAGGGACAGACACAGGAACGAAGAAGGACACAUGCCGGCCAGCCUAAGUGUUCCAGAGCAGUAGCAAGCUACCAUGGCUCAGCGGUAACACUAGGAGACAUUUCCCGGUAAGAGAGGCUACUAAAGAUAAACAACUAGAUGGUCAGAUCCCACACAUAGCACUACACAUUACACGUACGCAUAACAUGCAGGUAUGUGCUGUACAUCAUGGCAUCACAGCAUAACUCAACAAUUAUAUAGAUAAAGGCUCAGAAGAGCCAGCAUAGCAUUCAUUGCAAACAGGGGUCACAAGACCCGUCAUACAGAGCAUACAAGCAACAAGCGGAAGCAUUACAUGUCUGGGUACAGACAUCUAUAAAUGAAAAAGGCUGAAGAGCCUGACUAUCUACAACAUCCGAUCAAGAUCGUAGCUGAGGUACUAGCUACUAGUCGAAGUCCACGAGAACACUAGUAAGACCGAAGUCUCCGCUGCAAAACAUAAAUAAAGCAACAUGAGUACAAAGGUACUCAGCAAGACUUACAUCAGAUCCUAUCAUACAUGCAUCUGUAUCAAGGGAUAAUGUGGGGUUUAGUUGCAGCAAGCCAGCUUUGACUCUGUGGCUAUCCUGUUCUACGACUACCAGAAACUCUGGAGGUGAAACAACGUACACGAGUCCACUAAUCACCACACAAUACACUACUAUGGAUUCAUCCCCGUCUCCCUACGAGAAGGCCAUCCAUAGCACUCACACUUGUCUUGAGCAUUUUAAAGUAUCCACUUCAAGUUGUCUAUGUACCAUGUAAGCAUCCAAGAAGUCCAUAACCGCGGACCCGGCUAUUCGAAUAGAUCAUGUUAACCCUGCAGGGGUGUACUUCUUCACACACUCUCUCGCCACUUACCGCCAUGUACACGUCAUGUAUCUCGGCAACCUUCAAGCGGAAGCCUGGCGAGGGUGUCGGCCACGACCUGACUAACCACACAAGACUCUAGUCCAGGUUUAUCGCCUAUUCGGGUUCCAUCCGCAAGGAGAUCCGGCCGGGGUGUCGCUCACGGCCCCAAACGAUGUGAGCAGGGUUCCCGAGCCCACCAACCGGGUGCCACUCGGUACACCGUGCCACGUGUGCCUAGUCUGUCCCAAGCCCACCCUGCCGGGUGCCACUUGGUAGAAAAAUAGCACUACCUACAAACACCAGAAACUAGUUGCGACUCCUGGACAGAGAUCAAGUUGGCUAAUAAGUCGAGAGGGGCACUUAAGCAUUCCAAUGUGUGGUAGUAUCGAGUCAUUGGACAACAUACAUAGAACUCAGUGCUUAAGGACGGUUCCAGUGAGACAACCCACCAUGUACUCCUACAUGGCCUCUCACCGCUACCUUUACCAAAUCGUGUUCACACCCUUCACUCUCAGCGUCAGAACAUAUCGUGACCCUCCAAUUCAUUCCCAAUGAAUCAGACCUGACACAACUCUAAGCAGUAGCAGGCAUAGCAUGGUAGGAACACAUCAGUGGCUUCAAUCAACUCCUACACAUGCUAGUGGGUUUCAACUAUUUACUGUGGCAAUGACAGGUCAUGCAGAGGAAUGGGUUCAACUACCGCAGCACAAAGUAGCAGAUGAACCGUUGUUGUCCUAAUGCAAUAACUGAGAGCAGGAGCGAGAGAGUAGGGUUUUAUCGAAAUGAACAAGGGGGUUUGCUUGCCUGGUAAAUCAACAAGGGAGGCACUGCUUCACAGACAGGUACUCUGGAACGUCUCCGGAGCAGGACCUAUCGAGAAGGAACGGUGCCGGCAAUCAAAACACAAUCAUAUGCAACAAUAUGAUGCAUGAGCAUGGCAUGUAGAUGUGAUGCUGUUUGGGCUAAUGCAACUAGUAUUCAAUUUGAAUGAAGUCCAUUUGAACAAAAGGUUCAAAUGCAACUCCAAAAUAAGUCUCUUAAUAUGCCAUAAUGUGUUUUCUCAUAUUCAGCAUGUAUAAGUUGGUUUUUCAUGCAUGAAACUAGUACAGAUGGAAAGGUUGCAUUUUUCUGAUAAUUUUUCAUAUAUAAAUUAUUUAAAUCUGAGCUACGGUUGAAUUGUUAUGAAUUUUUGAAGUUUAAAUCAUUUUCUGGAAUUUUCUGAAUUAUUUUAAUUCCAGAAAAUAUAUAAUUGCGUCAGCAUGACGUCAUCAUGACGUCAGCGGUCAACGCGGCUGUCCAGGGUCAAACCUGACGUGUGGGACCCACACGUCAGUGGCAGGGGGGUUAACAGGGGUUAAUUUAAUUUAAUUAAAAGGUUAGGGGGGGUCGGGCCCACUGGUCAGCGACCCUGGGGGGUCAAACCCGGUCAACUCGCCGGCGUUUAGCCGCCGGCGAGGCCCGAGACGGCGGAGGGGCUCGGAAACGUCGCUCCGGCGACCAUUCGGGCGGCGGAGACCACGAGAACGAAGCCCGCGCUCACGCGCAUCCAGUGGAACACACGGGAGGCUGCGGGGGCGGCGGAGCUCGCCGGAGCAGAGCUCACGGCGGCGGCCGGAGCUCGGCAACUUGCGGCCGCGGCGUUGUGGUGCACGGCAGUGGAGGCGGAGGGCUCCUACGGCCUCCUGGCGUCACCAGGAACACGGUGACGCGCGCGGAAGUGACCGGCUUGGGCUCGUGCCACCGUGGCGCCAUGGCCGACGGCGAGGAGCUACGGGCGCUGUGGCGAGCUAGCUAGACGGGGCAAACGGACACGGGGAGAAGGGGGUUCGGUGCGGGGGCUCACCGCGGAACCAGCGAGCGCGAGGGCGAGGUCGGGGAUGCCCGGUAGCUUCCGAAUCGCCGGCAAGGAUCCACGGCGGCCGGAGGCGAAUUUGGCGACGGCGACGGCUCCACGGGGUGCUCCGUCUUGCGUGGCUCGACGAGGAGGUAGAGGGGGUCGCGGCGGGUCUGGGGAGCGUGUCGGGAAGGCGUGGGAGAGGCGGUGGCUACGGUGAUGCCCGUCGGCGGCGGCGGUGGUUCUCGGGUGAGAGAGAGAGCAGGGGGAGAGGAGGAGGGAGAGAGUGAGAGGGCGGUCGGGGCUGCGUGGCGUCGUCCGGGGCGUUCCAGGCGACGAGGAGGAAGCAGGAGGUGGCCAGGGAAGCAGGAGGUGGAGGCGCGGCGGUGCGCGCGCGUCGGCACGCGCCGUUCCCCUGUCGGGGAGGAAGACGAUAGAGGAGGGGGGGCCAGGUGGGCUGGGCCGCCUCCUGGCUGGGCCGGCCUGCUGCUGCUGGGCUGCGCAGGGGAGAGCCCCAGGUAAGCACAGGUGAGGUUUUCCUGUUUUAUUUCCCUUUUUCUAUUUUUUCUGAUAUUUGUUUGGUUUAAUAAAAUACUAAACCAUUUUAUUUGCUUAUGCCAAUUUUUAUAGGGGCUAAGGGUAUUAUUCCAGGGCUCCUCAACAAAAGGCACAAUUUUUGGACCAUAUUUCAUAUAUAUAGAAAUAUAUCUCCAAUGCAAAUAUUUAUUGAAUUAAUCCAAAUGGCAAAAAUAAAUGUCCAUGAGCUCCUAAAAAUAUUGUUUUGAUUUUAUCUCUGUCCAAUAUUUUCAGAGGGCAACAUGAGCAUUUUCUUGGACCCUUUUGGAGAAAUUUUUAUUUGGGUCAUUUUCAAAAAUGAUUCUGAGGGUUCCACCAAUCCUCAUUUCAAAUUUAAAUGAAAUUUAAAUAUGAUGCACAAGUAGCUAGCUAGUCUAAGUCAUACCAAACUAGGGAUGUGACAACUCGCCCCCACUUGAAAGAAUCUCGUCUCGAGAUUCAGGGGUCGACGGAAAGAAAGUGGGGUACUCCAGUCGAAGACGAUCUUCUCGCUCCCAAGUAGCUUCUCUCUCGGAAUGAUGAGACCACUGAACUUUGAGAAACUUGAUGUUCUGACGUCGAGUAACACGCUCUGCUUGAUCAAGAAUGCGAACCGGGUACUCUCGGUAUGUGAGGUUAUCUUGGAGAUCAAGCGUUUCGUGGUCCACUCCGCGGAUGGGAUCCGAGAAGCAACGCCUGAGUUGAGAGACGUGGAAGACAUCAUGAACUCGAGAAAGAUGUGGAGGUAGUUCCAAUUGGUAGGCAACCUCUCCUCGUUUAGCGAGAAUACGAAAAGGACCAAUGUAACGAGGAGCCAACUUGCCCUUGAUACCGAAACGAUGGGUACCCUUCAAAGGAGUAACCCGAAGGUAAGCUUGGUCGCCAAUUUCAUAAGUCAUAUCCUUAUGAUGACGAUCAUACUGACUCUUUUGACGAGACUGGGCUGUUUUCAAAUUCUCACGAAUGAUGCGAACUUGCUCUUCUGCCUCCUGGAUCAUGUCCGGUCCAAAGAAUUGUCUUUCACCGGUUUCUGACCAGUUCAAAGGUGUUCGACAUCUUCGUCCAUAGAGAACCUCAAAAGGAGCUUUCUUGAGGCUGGAUUGGUAGCUAUUGUUAUAAGCAAACUCGGCGAAAGGAAGACACUUCUCCCAAUCCAUACCGAAUGAGAUAACGCAAGCUCUGAGCAUGUCUUCGAGAAUUUGAUUGACCCGUUCCACCUGACCACUCGACUGAGGGUGGAAAGCGGUACUGAAGGAAAGAUGGGUUCCCAUGGCAGUUUGGAAACUCUCCCAGAAAUGAGAAGUGAAAAGACUGCCACGGUCUGAAUUGAUCUCUAGUGGAACACCAUGAAGUGACACUAUUCGAGAAAUAUAUAAGUCAGCAAGCUGACUAGCAGUGAUACUCUCUCGAACAGGAAGGAAGUGAGCCACUUUGGAGAGACGAUCAAUGACUACGAAGAUAGCGUUAUUCCCUCUCUUGGUCCUGGGAAAGCCGGUGAUGAAGUCCAUACCAACUUUAUCCCAUUUCCAUUCAGGAAUAGCUAAAGGCUGAAGGGUGCCAGCAGGUCUUUGAUGCUCUGCCUUAACGCGACGACAAACGUCACAUUUAGCAAUGAACUCAGCGAUUUCUCUCUUCAUCCUAGUCCACCAAAACCUCUGGCGUAGGUCCUGAUACAUCUUAGUGCUACCGGGAUGAAUCAUGAGAGGGGAUUCAUGCACCUCCUUAAGAAUCAAUUGUCGCAGAUGCUGAUUCUUGGGAACCACCAAGCGAUUCUCAAAGAAAACAACACCACGAUCAUCCAUAGAGAAACAUCCACCAACUCCCUUCUUAAUGUUUCUCUUGAUGCGGAUAACCCCCCUAUCAAACUUCUGGUCAGAGAUGAUCUGAUCCUCAAGGGUAGGUUUCGCCACCAAGGUAGAAAGGAAUCCGCGGGGAGCAAUGUGAAGGUUAAGCUUACAGAAUUCCUCAUGGAGAAGUGGUUGGCCUUGCUGCAACAUGAGAUUAUUGCAAUAGGAUUUACGACUUAGAGCAUCAGCCAUGACAUUGGCUUUGCCUGGGGUGUAGGUAAUCCCUAGAUCAUAAUCUGUGAUCAACUCCAACCAACGUCUUUGCCUAAGGUUCAGAUCCGGUUGGGUGAAGAUAUACUUGAGACUCUGGUGAUCGGUGUAGAUCUCGCAACGUUUACCAAGGAGGUAAUGUCGCCAGGUCUUGAGUGCAUAGACUACGGCUGCAAGCUCUAGAUCAUGUGUAGGAUAAUUCUCCUCAUGUGGAUGCAACUGUCGGGAUGCAUAGGCAAUCACAUGACGAUCCUGCAUAAGAAUGCAACCUAGUCCCUGUCGUGAGGCGUCGCAGUAGAUAAUAAAGUCUUUAGUGAAAUCCGGUGGCACAAGUAUGGGGGCAGAAGUCAGGCGUCUUUUCAGUUCCUGAAAACUGUACUCACACUGUGGGGACCACUCAAACUUUUUAUCUUUCUUGAGAAGUUCCGUGAGGGGUUUGGCUACUUUGGAGAAGUUUUCAACAAAGCGGCGACAAUAGCUGGCUAGACCAAGGAAGCUCCUAACUUGUUUAACGGUCUCAGGUGGAGUCCAAUCGAGAACAGCUUGAACUCUCUCGGGAUUGACAGCAAUGCCCUUACCAGAGAUUACGUGGCCUAGGUAGGUCACUUCUGGCAACCAAAAUUCACACUUGGAGAACUUGGCAUAAAGGCGGUGUUCUCUGAGUUUUUCUAAAACAAGUCUAAGAUGUUCGGCAUGCUCUUCCUCGUUCUUCUAGUAAAUAAGAAUAUCAUCGAGGUAAACCACGACGAACUUAUCUAAGUACUCCAUGAAGAUCGAGUUCAUCAAGCGGGAGAAUGUAGCUGGAGCGUUGGUUAGACCAAAAGACAUGACCGUGUACUCGUACUGGCCAUAACGAGUGACAAAAGCUGUCUUGGGAAUGUCCCCAUUUCUGAUCUUAAUUUGAUGGUAGCCUAAUCUUAAAUCCAUCUUGGAGAAGACUGAGGAUCCAGCGAGCUGAUCAUACAGGUCGUUGAUCCUGGGAAGCGGAUACUUGUUCUUUAUCGUGACCAAAUUAACGGGACGAUAAUCUACAACCAUCCGGUCCGUACCAUCCUUCUUCUUGACGAAGAGGACGGGGCAAGCCCAAGGAGAAGAGCUAGGAUGGAUGAAACCCUUUUGCAAGGACUCAUCAAGUUGUUUCUUAAGAUCGGCUAGUUCUAAGGGUGCCAUCUUGUAAGGUCUCCGGGAGAUUGGAGCUGUUCCUGGGAUAAGAUCUAUGACGAACUCUACAUCUCUGUCAGGUGGAACACCUGGCAGUUCCUCUGGAAAGACAUCUGGAAAGUCACGGACUACCGGAAUAUCUUCAAGGUCUGGAAGAGGGCUGGCAUUGAGAGAAUAGAGCUGACGCUUUGCAACUCUAGUGGAGACGGUGACUAUCUUGCCAGAUGGGUGUGUAAGUUGAACAGAUCUUGUGCAACAAUCAAUCUUGGCAUGAUGAGCUGUCAUCCAAUCCAUGCCCAAGAUGAUGUUAAUAUCUGAGGACUUGAGGGCUACAAGUGAGGCAAGGAAUACAAGUCUGUCAACAAGGAUUUCGUUACCGUGGCUUACACUAGAGGUUUGCCAUUUGAAUCCAGGAGUUUGGAUGACUAGCGGAGUUGGCAUAUCACAAAAUGACAUGUCGUGCAAACGAGCAUAGCCUUCAGAAAUGAAGGAGUGAGAUGCUCCAGUAUCGAAUAGAACUGAUGCUGGAUGACAAUUGACAAGGAGUGUACCAAGAACGACAUUUGGAUCAUCAUGAGCGUCUUUAGCUGAGACGUGAUGCACACGUCCACGUUCAGUGGGGGCUGACUUGACACUGAUCAUCUUGCGUGAUGGCUUAACACAGCCAACAGUCUUCUCGGGCUGAGGUGGAGCAUAACUAGUUUGAGAGCAAUCACGUGCAUAGUGUCCUGGCUUUCCGCAUGUGAAGCAAGUCCCUGAGGUUGGACGGGGACCCGCACUGACAAGCGGUCUACCAGUAGGCCUGGGUGGAACAUAUGACUGAACUGGGGGAGGCACCACAUGAGAUGACCUCGGUGCAUAUCCGGAAGGAAGAGCGGAGUUUGGAACCCAAAUCCGGCGUUUCUGGGAACUAGAGCCAGAGGAAGAUCCCAAAUCACGGGUGUGCUUACGAGACUCCUCGUAAGUGAGCUGAGCUGUCUCUGCAUUGAUGGCCUUGUUCACAAGGGCUUGGAAUGUAUCACAAUGAUGCAGGUGGAGAUCACGACGCAACUUGGGGUUGAGACCCUUCCGGAACCUAGCCUGCUUCUUGGCGUCCGUGGACACUUCUUCUGUGGCAUAACGGGCGAGGUUCUCGAACUCUCUGCUAUAAGCAUCAACAGCCAUCUUACUCUGGGAGAAACUACAGAACUCUUCUCUCUUGCGAUCAAGAAGGGCCUGGGGAAUGUGAUGCUCGCGAAAAGCCUCGGUGAAAACCUUCCAGGUAGGAAUCUGGCCAGCUGGAAGCAUAGCCUCAUAGUUCUGCCACCAAAGACUAGCAGGACCUUCCAGGUGAUAUGUGGCAUAAGUGACCUUGUCAUCUUCAGCUACGCUCGCGGAACGCAGCUUAUGGGUGAUGCUACGGAGCCAGUCAUCUGCGUCGAGUGGCUCGAUGGAAUGAUGAAAGGUAGGUGGGUGCAAACGAAUGAAGUCAUAAAUGGUAGCAGACCCUUUGAACUGAUGUGCGAUGUUCUCGUCGAUACGUGCCAACAAACGAUUAGACUCACGCUUGUUCCUCUCCAUUUCUAACAUGAACUCUGUCAACGAAGGCUGGUCGGGAGGAUCCUCAUUCCUACCAUCUCCAUGGUUCUGGCCACGAACAAUAGAACUUGAUGACAUCCUAAGAAGCAAAACCAGGGAUGAAAUCAACAUCAACUAUGGACUGUAGAAUGUAGGACAAGGAAUUAGUAUCUCUUGAACUCCUAGGAGAAUUCCGGCAGCAUAACGGCAGUAAAAUGCUCAGAAUGAGACAUCCUACUAAAAAUGGGGUGGUAACAUACUCAUCAUCAUCACUCAAGGUUCUGAGAUAGUACUAAACAGACUACACCGGAAAUACUUAAAACUGGGGUAUGACUCUGAUCAACCAAUCCUAUGGGACUACGGAGUAGUAACACGUGAUCCUGCUAGACGGAAGAGAAAACCUAGUUCCUUAACCCCGUAGGAAAGAUAGGACGACUCAGAUCAGAAGGCCAUGAGGUAAAGGAGUAAAAAGAGCCUUACGUUCCUUCCCACAAUCAAUUCCCUUACAUAACUAAAGAAUUUCUAGACUCAACUUCGACCAGUUUGGCUUGGUAAUCCUACAGGCAGUCAGGCUCUGAUACCAAAGCUGUCAGGACCCCGACUCAAUGCCACAUCGAUCUAGCAUGUAACACCUCAUAUCACUUUGCGGCCUCACGCACGGUAUCCCCACGGGUGUCGUCUUACCCUUUCCCGGGACCGUUUGCGCAUUUUGGUACACGUAUAUGAUGGUGUCGCUAACAUCCAUAUGAUAAAGAGCCCGGGCUGACAUGGCUAGUCGUAAACCCAAAGUGGCACUAACUUACAGGGACAGGCAUCCAUGACCCAACAUCGAACGUGUCGGUCAUCAGCGAGUGAAUCCAGGCUGUAGCACUGGGCUAACAGGACUCCGGUGAACCGGGCUGUAGCGGGCUAGCAGGACUCUGGUAUUCAUCGCGUGACAUUUCCCCGAAGGGACAGACACAGGAUCGAAGAAGGACACAUGCCGGCCAGCCUAAGUGUUCCGGAGCAGUAGCAAGCUACCAGGGCUCAGUGGAAGCACUAGGAGACAUUUCCCGGUAAGAGAGGCUACUAAGGAUAACAACUAGAUAGUCAGAUCCCACACAUAGCAAUACACAUUACACGUACGCAUAAUAUGCAAGUAUGUGCUGUACAACAUGGCAUCACAGCAUAACUCAACAAUCAUAUAGAUAAAGGCUCAGAAGAGCCAUCAUAGCAUAUAUUGCAAACAGGGGUCACAAAACCCAUCAUACAGAGCAUACAAGCAACAAGCGGAAGCAUUACAUGUCUGGGUACAGACAUCUACAAAUGAAAAAGGCUGAAGAGCCUGACUAUCUACAACAUCCGAUCAAGAUCGUAGCUGAGGUACUAGCUACUAGUCGAAGUCCACGAGAACACUAGUAAGACCGAAGUCUCCGCUGCAAAAACAUAAAUAAAGCAACAUGAGUACAAAGGUACUCAGCAAGACUUACAUCAGAUCCUAUCAUACAUGCAUUUGUACCAAGAGGGUAAUGUGGGGUUUGGUUGCAGCAAGCCAGCUUUGACUCUGUGGCUAUCCUGUUCUACGACUACCAGAAACUCUGGAGGUGAAACAACGUACACGAGUCCACUAAUCACCAUACAAUACACUACUAUGGAUUCAUCCCCGUCUCCCUACGAGAAGGCCAUCCAUAGCACUCACACUUGUCUUGAGCAUUUUUUAGUAUCCACUUCAAGUUGUCUAUGUACCAUGUAAGCAUCCAAGAAGUCCAUAACCGCGGACCCGGCUAUUCGAAUAGAUCAUGUUAACCCUGCAGGGGUGUACUUCUUCACACACGCUCUCGCCACUUACCGCCAUGUACACGUCAUGUAUCUCGGCAACCUUCAAGCGGAAGCCUGGCGAGGGUGUCGGCCACGACCCGACUAACCACACAAGACUCUAGUCCAGGUUUAUCGCCUAUUCGGGUUCCAUCCGCAAGGAGAUCCGGCCGGGGUGUCGCUCACGGCCCCAAACGAUGUGAGCAGGGUUCCCGAGCCCACCAACCGGGUGCCACUCGGUACACCGUGCCACGUGUGCCUAGUCUGUCCCAAGCCCACCCUGCCGGGUGCCACUUGGUAGAAAAAUAGCACUACCUACAAACACCAGAAACUAGUUGCGACUCCUGGACAGAGAUCAAGUUGGCUAAUAAGUCGAGAGGGGCACUUAAGCAUUCCAAUGUGUGGUAGUAUCGAGUCAUUGGACAACAUACAUAGAACUCAGUGCUUAAGGACGGUUCCAGUGAGACAACCCACCAUGUACUCCUACAUGGCCUCUCACCGCUACCUUUACCAAAUCGUGUUCACACCCUUCACUCUCAGCGUCAGAACAUAUCGUGACCCUCCAAUUCAUUCCCAAUGAAUCAGACCUGACACAACUCUAAGCAGUAGCAGGCAUAGCAUGGUAGGAACACAUCAGUGGCUUCAAUCAACUCCUACACAUGCUAGUGGGUUUCAACUAUUUACUGUGGCAAUGACAGGUCAUGCAGAGGAAUGGGUUCAACUACCGCAGCACAAAGUAGCAGAUGAACCGUUGUUGUCCUAAUGCAAUAACUGAGAGCAGGAGCGAGAGAGUAGGGUUUUAUCGAAAUGAACAAGGGGGUUUGCUUGCCUGGUAAAUCAACAAGGGAGGCACUGCUUCACAGACAGGUACUCUGGAACGUCUCCGGAGCAGGACCUAUCGAGAAGGAACGGUGCCGGCAAUCAAAACACAAUCAUAUGCAACAAUAUGAUGCAUGAGCAUGGCAUGUAGAUGUGAUGCUGUUUGGGCUAAUGCAACUAGUAUUCAAUUUGAAUGAAGUCCAUUUGAACAAAAGGUUCAAAUGCAACUCCAAAAUAANNNNNNNNNNNNNNNNNNNNNNNNNNNNNNNNNNNNNNNNNNNNNNNNNNNNNNNNNNNNNNNNNNNNNNNNNNNNNNNNNNNNNNNNNNNNNNNNNNNNNNNNNNNNNNNNNNNNNNNNNNNNNNNNNNNNNNNNNNNNNNNNNNNNNNNNNNNNNNNNNNNNNNNNNNNNNNNNNNNNNNNNNNNNNNNNNNNNNNNNNNNNNNNNNNNNNNNNNNNNNNNNNNNNNNNNNNNNNNNNNNNNNNNNNNNNNNNNNNNNNNNNNNNNNNNNNNNNNNNNNNNNNNNNNNNNNNNNNNNNNNNNNNNNNNNNNNNNNNNNNNNNNNNNNNNNNNNNNNNNNNNNNNNNNNNNNNNNNNNNNNNNNNNNNNNNNNNNNNNNNNNNNNNNNNNNNNNNNNNNNNNNNNNNNNNNNNNNNNNNNNNNNNNNNNNNNNNNNNNNNNNNNNNNNNNNNNNNNNNNNNNNNNNNNNNNNNNNNNNNNNNNNNNNNNNNNNNNNNNNNNNNNNNNNNNNNNNNNNNNNNNNNNNNNNNNNNNNNNNNNNNNNNNNNNNNNNNNNNNNNNNNNNNNNNNNNNNNNNNNNNNNNNNNNNNNNNNNNNNNNNNNNNNNUAUAUAAAUUAUUUAAAUCUGAGCUACGGUUGAAUUGUUAUGAAUUUUUGAAGUUUAAAUCAUUUUCUGGAAUUUUCUGAAUUAUUUUAAUUCCAGAAAAUAUAUAAUUGCGUCAGCAUGACGUCAUCAUGACGUCAGCGGUCAACGCGGCUGUCCAGGGUCAAACCUGACGUGUGGGACCCACACGUCAGUGGCAGGGGGGUUAACAGGGGUUAAUUUAAUUUAAUUAAAAGGUUAGGGGGGGUCGGGCCCACUGGUCAGCGACCCUGGGGGGUCAAACCCGGUCAACUCGCCGGCGUUUAGCCGCCGGCGAGGCCCGAGACGGCGGAGGGGCUCGGAAACGUCGCUCCGGCGACCAUUCGGGCGGCGGAGACCACGAGAACGAAGCCCGCGCUCACGCGCAUCCAGUGGAACACACGGGAGGCUGCGGGGGCGGCGGAGCUCGCCGGAGCAGAGCUCACGGCGGCGGCCGGAGCUCGGCAACUUGCGGCCGCGGCGUUGUGGUGCACGGCAGUGGAGGCGGAGGGCUCCUACGGCCUCCUGGCGUCACCAGGAACACGGUGACGCGCGCGGAAGUGACCGGCUUGGGCUCGUGCCACCGUGGCGCCAUGGCCGACGGCGAGGAGCUACGGGCGCUGUGGCGAGCUAGCUAGACGGGGCAAACGGACACGGGGAGAAGGGGGUUCGGUGCGGGGGCUCACCGCGGAACCAGCAAGCGCGAGGGCGAGGUCGGGGAUGCCCGGUAGCUUUCAAAUCGCCGGCGAGGAUCCAUGGCGGCCGGAGGCGAAUUUGGCGACGGCGACGGCUCCACGGGGUGCUCCGUCUUGCGUGGCUCGACGAGGAGGUAGAGGGGGUCGCGGCGGGUCUGGGGAGCGUGUCGGGAAGGCGUGGGAGAGGCGGUGGCUACGGUGAUGCCCGUCGGCGGCGGCGGUGGUUCUCGGGUGAGAGAGAGAGAGCAGGGGGAGAGGAGGAGGGAGAGAGUGAGAGGGCGGUCGGGGCUGCGUGGCGUCGUCCGGGGCGUUCCAGGCGACGAGGAGGAAGCAGGAGGUGGCCAGGGAAGCAGGAAGUGGAGGCGCGGCGGUGCGCGCGCGUCGGCACGCGCCGUUCCCCUGUCGGGGAGGAAGACGACAGAGGAGGGGGGGCCAGGUGGGCUGGGCCGCCUCCUGGCUGGGCCGGCCUGCUGCUGCUGGGCUGCGCAGGGGAGAGCCCUAGGUAAGCACAGGUGAGGUUUUCCUGUUUUAUUUCCCUUUUUCUAUUUUUUCUGAUAUUUGUUUGGUUUAAUAAAAUACUAAACCAUUUUAUUUGCUUAUGCCAAUUUUUAUAGGGGCUAAGGGUAUUAUUCCAGGGCUCCUCAACAAAAGGCACAAUUUUUGGACCAUAUUUCAUAUAUAUAGAAAUAUAUCUCCAAUGCAAAUAUUUAUUGAAUUAAUCCAAAUGGCAAAAAUAAAUGUCCAUGAGCUCCUAAAAAUAUUGUUUUGAUUUUAUCUCUGUCCAAUAUUUUCAGAGGGCAACAUGAGCAUUUUCUUGGACCCUUUUGGAGAAAUUUUUAUUUGGGUCAUUUUCAAAAAUGAUUCUGAGGGUUCCACCAAUCCUCAUUUCAAAUUUAAAUGAAAUUUAAAUAUGAUGCACAAGUAGCUAGCUAGUCUAAGUCAUACCAGACUAGGGAUGUGACACGUAUCAUGUGUGAAAAAUGAUAUUUUCAAAAUACAACUGAAACUAUGCUAAUUGUGAAGAUGAGUGGAAUCAGUUUAAAAUAAGUUAACUCAGUUAAUUGCAAUGAGUUAAAUCUUUUUCUAAAUGAAUGAAAUCCGUUUCACAAAACGGUUGAAAUAUGUGUUUUGAAAGAAUUGAAAUCAUUUUUGUCAUAUUGAUUGCUUUAAUGCGUGAAACCGAUUAUUUCAAAUAUAUGAGAAUGUGAUUAUUUGAAAAAUAGAUUUCACUCCAUUUUCUUAAUACGUGGAAACAAUUGAAAUGAGUGAAACAAUUUUUUAAAUGAUUGAAUUUAGUUUUUGAAAUGAGUGAUAUUAUUUCUUGAACUGAGAGAAAUUAGUGGUUUAAAAUAAGCCAAUAUAUUUUUUAAAUGAGUAAAAUAAAAAAUUGAAAUGUGUGAAAUACUUUUAAAAUUGAGAGAAAUAUGUUUUUGAAAUUAGUGAAAUUAUUUUUUUGAAAUGAGUAAAGUUGUUUCUUUAGAUUAAUGAAAUUUGUUUUUCAAAACUUGUUUAAAAUAUAUUCUAGAUCGGUCUUGUUUUAAAGGUCACAUGAAUCGCCAUGAAUUCAAUUAUGUAAAGAAAUAGAAAUGGUAAUUUGGUCCAAAAGUUAUAAAUUGUUCAAAAUAAAACAAGAAAAAUAAAAUGCAAGUUUGAGAGAGAGAUUCUUGUCUGCAUGGAAUCAGUCAUUUUCCUUACUCUCUCGCUCUCUUACAUGACAAAAGGCUAACACUGUGUUCGGAUGUCUGAAUUAGCCCCUUCGAAUUGGAUAUGGUAUUGGCUACAUGCCAAUUCAGGUGUUCGGGUGUUUAUCGAAUCGAGCGACGGAAUCGGGCCCGAUACAGAGCCGAAAUCGCCUCCACGCGCGCAGCCCUCCCGCGAUACAGAGGUCUCUGCCUCCGAUUUGGCCCGAAUUGGGUUACUCCCGCGAAACGUACCGCUUGGAGACAGUCUCGCGCGAGACCUAUCCCUUUCCUCCCGCGCGUGAAGUGAGUCGCAAGCUUCAGGAGCCGCCGCCGGCGCAUGUAUGGAUCCCCACUCCAUGGCCCUCCUCCUCCCCCUCCUCUCUCCGACGGCGGCGGAUCUUCAAGCCCCCGUGGAUGCGGCCCCUUUCCCUCCCCUGCAUAGCUCCUUCCUCUGCCCCGCGAGCCGGCGCAGCCCUGCAUCUGGCCUGUGUCGCUGGCGGGCGCGACCUCCAUCCCGGCCAUCUCGCUGGCCGGUGCGCCCUCCAUACCGCCCAUCUCGCUGGCUGGCGCAACCCCUCCAUCUUCUUCCCCUUCUCCCCUGCCAUCUACUUCCCCUUCCUCCUCCAUCUUCUUCUUCCCCUUCCAUGGACCCCCUUCUUUCUCUUCCUUUGCUUAACCAGCCAGCCUUUUCUAAGUUCUUCCUCUUCCCUUGUUCUGUUCUUCCCUGAUGUCCACGUUCCCAUGAAUUUACUGACCACAUGUUUAUUUUUUUGCAGGUGUUGCUGGAUCCCCCUUCUUUCUCUUCCUUUGUGCAUUUGUAAAAUGUUUGUUAAUUUUUAUUCCUAUAUAAUCAUUCAAUUAUCACACAUUGUACAGAUUUUAAUUUGAUGCAGAAAGCACAAAGCAUUACGCAAUUCCAUAGUUUGUCAUCUGAACAUGAUUUGGUAUUGAAAACUGAUUAUGAUUCCAUGGGCCAAUUUCAUGAGCAUCCAAACAUGUGAAUUCGUAUUCAUGUCAUUACGGUUUCCUCCCUGAAUUGGAAUUAAAACCAAUUCAAUACGGAGGCCUACAAUACAGACAUCCGAACACAGCGUAACAAAAUUCUGUUGUGGCGGACCCCUACUAGCGUGUACCUGCAAUGUAUAGCUAGAAGUACCGGUACCGCUUGAUUUCCCACUUUCCCCGGUCACCCAUUCCAUGUCGGUAUGAAGCUCAUCGCUGUUGCUGCCCUCAUCCUGGCCACCAUUCUCUCCAUUUACCAUGACCAAUGCCGCUAAUCUAAAAAUCAUGGAACACAUUUUUGUUUUCUAUGGUCUGACCUGCGAGCCCCGAUCUCUAGGAAAUGGAGAUGAGAUUGCACGAAGGAGAUAUGCAGGAUUAGGUGAAGGGGAGAAAAUUAGAGGACGAAAUAGAGAACAAGGGUACGAGGAAGGGAAUCCUUUUGUUCUUCGAUGUCUCUCCCGGAAGGGCUAUGGACGGUGAUUUCGAGCAGCAAGUCUUAGCGUCUGGUCCGUCUCAUAGGAGUUAGCCAGUUGUUGAAGCCACCCGCCUAGCAAACGGAGAGUGUGUCGAUUGACAGUAGGUUGUCAACAUGUGGCAGGGCAUCAGGCGCACCCAAGACCAAGACCGAGACAGUCGUUAAAGUAGUCAGAGUUGAACCGAAAGGAGGGGCAGCAACCAUUAACUAGAUAAAAUCGUAUUCAAUAUCAAUAGCAACGAAUACUGCUAAAAUCCCCAUAGUUGUUGAUUAUGCCACAACUAAUAUUGCGUGCUUUCCCAUUCCUAUUGCUUUCGGUAUCUAAAUCUUCCCGAAUUCAAGUAGUGAAUGUCAGGGCUUUCUUCUUCUUUGAUUUUCUUUGGGGCAGAGGAUAAAUAAAUGGAUUUUCAACAUAGCACUUGCGGUGCGGCAUUAGGAUUCUAAGAUUUAGGAGGGGAAGAUUGAGGAGAGGGCCCCAUUAGAAGAAGAGAUGGCUGUGCUUGAAUCGGCUGCAGGCGUGCAUUUGUACUGGAAGGAGAACUAUAGACCCGCUAACUUCAACAUGGCCUUGCGCUGUAGGUCGGUGACGAGUUGUUGAUCUCCCUUAGUGCACAAGAUUUUGUUGUUUGUGACGACAAUGGGGUCGCACGAAUUUGUUCUUAAAUCUUCAAUUUGUGGUUCAUGAUACACAAUUUGUUUGAUGAAUGAAUAAAUGCUUCUCGGGUCAGAUCGAGCGUUGCAAAUUUUUUGCGCAAAUCUACGAGCCGCUCCCCAAUGGAGCUCAGCAAGGGUGCAUCAUUGCGCCGAAGAUGGAUGCUCGGGAUGGAUACCGCGUACAGGAACGCUGCCCUUGUUGUCGGCAAAGCUUGUGUUUGUGCGUCCAUGGAAAACAGAGUGCCGUGGCUCUCGUAAAUACUCCAUCCGUCCCUUGAUGUAAGAUGUUUUUUGACACUAGUGUAGUGUCAGAGAACGGCUUAUAUUAUAGGACGGAGUAGUACAAGAUAGAAAAAAUAACAGAGCAUCAUUCAUAGUACUGAAUAUUAACUGAAUUCAACAUAAGCACAUACAGGACGACCACAACAUAUAUAUGCUAAUUUUAGCCAUUUCAUCGUUGAAAAUAGCUAAAUGAGUUGUUCCAACAAAUUGGUAGCCGAGAAACAUUUUUGCAGAAGGACAAUAGCAUUGACUAUUCUUUGAGAUCGGGGAGUCCUUCCAACCACAUCGAGAUUAAUCUUCAACUCGACCUUCUGAGCGGAACAGAAUAUCAGGAGAAGCACCACAUUGAGAUUCAUCUUCACCUCGACCUUAUGAGCGG
Molecule: long non-coding RNA, 40478 nt
Filed under: Triticum aestivum (bread wheat)
Lineage: Eukaryota; Viridiplantae; Streptophyta; Magnoliopsida; Poales; Poaceae
Description: long non-coding RNA (TAES_LNC006728)
Source: RNAcentral